This 440-nucleotide ribosomal RNA is filed under the name uncultured bacterium. Its description in RNAcentral is "partial 16S ribosomal RNA". It matches the Rfam family "Bacterial small subunit ribosomal RNA", at positions 338 to 795 of the family's 1533-position model. The record is from RNAcentral.
CCUACGGGAGGCAGCAGUGGGGAAUAUUGCACAAUGGGGGAAACCCUGAUGCAGCGACGCCGCGUGAGUGAAGAAGUAUCUCGGUAUGUAAAGCUCUAUCAGCAGGGAAGAAAAUGACGGUACCUGACUAAGAAGCCCCGGCUAACUACGUGCCAGCAGCCGCGGCAAUACGCAGGGGGCAAGCGUUAUCCGGAUUUACUGGGUGUAAAGGGAGCGUAGACGGGGCUGCAAGUCCGGAGUGAAAGCGCAUGGCUUAACCGUGUGAUUGCUUUGGAAACUGUAGAGCUUGAGUUCGGGAGGGGCAGGCGGAAUUCGUAGUGUAGCGGUGAAAUGCGUAGAUAUUAGGAGGAACACCGGCGGCGAAGGCGGCCUGCUGGACCGUAACUGACGUUGAGGCUCGAAAGCGUGGGGAGCAAACAGGAUUAGAUACCCGGGUAGUC